RNAcentral lists this long non-coding RNA (291 nucleotides) under Elaeis guineensis (African oil palm). RNAcentral describes it as "long non-coding RNA (EGUI_LNC081867)". The record is from RNAcentral. Lineage: Eukaryota; Viridiplantae; Streptophyta; Magnoliopsida; Arecales; Arecaceae.
AUCAAAUGAUACGUUGUUACCAAAGAUGACAACGUUUAUCAAGCAUAAGUCAUUGUGUGCCAUAUAGGUUGGUUGUCCUCUUAACCAAUGAGUGUGGAGACACUGGUAUGGCAUACAGGUAAGAUGUAAGGAUACAUCUGCACUGAACGUGACCGACUCCGGAGCUAUUUCUGUGGUCAAGAUUUGCUUCGAUAGAAUAUGGGUAUAAAUGUCUCUCCGACCUGAGACCAUCACGGUGACUUGCAAGCAACUCACUGUACUUAGGCACUGGACUACCUGAAUUUCUAAUUC